This is a long non-coding RNA of Xiphophorus couchianus (Monterrey platyfish), 647 nucleotides long. RefSeq lists it as uncharacterized. The record is from RefSeq and is a predicted model, not a curated record. The transcript is spliced from 2 exons. NCBI's taxonomy places the organism in Eukaryota, Metazoa, Chordata, Actinopteri, Cyprinodontiformes, Poeciliidae.
CCAAUCACCUUGAUGGUCCCGCCCUUAGUUGCGUUUUGCCUGAACUAGCUAGUUAGCUUGAUGAGACCAGCUUGCUAACUUCUGACUGGGUAGCUGGUGAAACAGCCGAGCAGAGGACUGACGAUAGUUUCCUCAGUGGGAUUUUAUGGGUGAGCUCACAUCGACCUGGCGGGUCUGUUAGCCCCUAUGCUAGCUGUUACUAUGGUUAACGUCAUUGACAUGUGCUUAAAAUUGCUAGCAUGCUGCCUCUACGAGUUUCAGAACCAAAAUAAAACAGGUAAAAUAUGUAUUUUCAGAAUUGUAAAAUUUUAGCUACAUGGCUAACAAACUACUUUUGCACUGCUCUAUGUUACCUUAAAAACAUAUCAUUUUUUAAGGUAUGUAUUGUGUUUUAUUACCAUAAAUGUAUAUUUUCUUUGCAUCAACUGGAUGGGAAUAAUGCUGUGUUCGAGACAAAUAUUGGUAUAAAAGUCUUGCCGUGUGAAGCAGGCAUUAGAGAUAAAGUGAGGAGCUCUUUCUGUCAUCUGCUGUCUCCACAUUGAGUCAGUUGAGGAUGGCUCCUUGGUGUCUCCCUUUGGAAGUUGUCUAGGUAGGCCCCACUCAGAGGAGACCUCAGGAAAAGUAAACUUCUUGCAGGGAUUAUAUAU